GGCUGGUCUGAUAGUAGUGGGUUAUCAGAACUUUUUCACAUUAGUGUCACUAAAGUUGGUAUAGAACCCCUCACUGCUAAAUUUGACUGGCUUUAA
This 96-nucleotide Y RNA is filed under the name Microcebus murinus (gray mouse lemur). Its description in RNAcentral is "Y RNA (ENSMICG00000046100.1)". It matches the Rfam family "Y RNA". From Rfam's summary of the family: Y RNAs are components of the Ro ribonucleoprotein particle (Ro RNP), in association with Ro60 and La proteins. The Y RNAs and Ro60 and La proteins are well conserved, but the function of the Ro RNP is not known. The record is from Rfam by way of RNAcentral. Lineage: Eukaryota; Metazoa; Chordata; Mammalia; Primates; Cheirogaleidae.